GAUGAGCGCUGGCGGCGUGCCUAAUACAUGCAAGUCGAGCGAACGGACGAGAAGCUUGCUUCUCUGAUGUUAGCGGCGGACGGGUGAGUAACACGUGGAUGACCUACCUAUAAGACUGGGAUAACUUCGGGAAACCGGAGCUAAUACCGGAUAAUAUUUUGAACCGCAUGGUUCAAAAGUGAAAGACGGUCUUGCUGUCACUUAUAGAUGGAUCCGCGCUGCAUUAGCUAGUUGGUAAGGUAACGGCUUACCAAGGCAACGAUGCAUAGCCGACCUGAGAGGGUGAUCGGCCACACUGGAACUGAGACACGGUCCAGACUCCUACGGGAGGCAGCAGUAGGGAAUCUUCCGCAAUGGGCGAAAGCCUGACGGAGCAACGCCGCGUGAGUGAUGAAGGUCUUCGGAUCGUAAAACUCUGUUAUUAGGGAAGAACAUAUGUGUAAGUAACUGUGCACAUCUUGACGGUACCUAAUCAGAAAGCCACGGCUAACUACGUG
Molecule: ribosomal RNA, 497 nt
Filed under: uncultured bacterium
Lineage: Bacteria
Description: partial 16S ribosomal RNA
Rfam family: Bacterial small subunit ribosomal RNA
Source: RNAcentral